AACGAACGCUGGCGGCAUGCUUAACACAUGCAAGUCGAACGGUUUUAUGAAGCUUGCUUCAUAAGAUAGUGGCAGACGGGUGAGGAACACGUGGGAACGUACCCUAGGGUUUGGAAUAACAGUUGGAAACGACUGCUAAUACCAAAUAUUUCCGAGAGGAGAAAGGUUUACCGCCUUAGGAGCGGCCCGCGUCCAAUUAGGUAGUUGGUGAGGUAAAAGCUCACCAAGCCGAUGAUUGGUAGCUGGUUUGAGAGGAUGAUCAGCCACACUGGGACUGAGACACGGCCCAG
This 290-nucleotide ribosomal RNA is filed under the name uncultured bacterium. RNAcentral describes it as "partial 16S ribosomal RNA". It matches the Rfam family "Bacterial small subunit ribosomal RNA", at positions 29 to 334 of the family's 1533-position model. The record is from RNAcentral.